This 744-nucleotide ribosomal RNA is filed under the name Salmonella enterica. RNAcentral describes it as "partial 23S ribosomal RNA". It matches the Rfam family "Bacterial large subunit ribosomal RNA", at positions 2190 to 2925 of the family's 2925-position model. The record is from RNAcentral. Lineage: Bacteria; Pseudomonadati; Pseudomonadota; Gammaproteobacteria; Enterobacterales; Enterobacteriaceae. RNAcentral also lists the same sequence under 1 other name.
CCUUGAAAUACCACCCUUUAAUGUUUGAUGUUCUAACGUGGACCCGUAAUCCGGGUUGCGGACAGUGUCUGGUGGGUAGUUUGACUGGGGCGGUCUCCUCCUAAAGAGUAACGGAGGAGCACGAAGGUUGGCUAAUCCUGGUCGGACAUCAGGAGGUUAGUGCAAUGGCAUAAGCCAGCUUGACUGCGAGCGUGACGGCGCGAGCAGGUGCGAAAGCAGGUCAUAGUGAUCCGGUGGUUCUGAAUGGAAGGGCCAUCGCUCAACGGAUAAAAGGUACUCCGGGGAUAACAGGCUGAUACCGCCCAAGAGUUCAUAUCGACGGCGGUGUUUGGCACCUCGAUGUCGGCUCAUCACAUCCUGGGGCUGAAGUAGGUCCCAAGGGUAUGGCUGUUCGCCAUUUAAAGUGGUACGCGAGCUGGGUUUAGAACGUCGUGAGACAGUUCGGUCCCUAUCUGCCGUGGGCGCUGGAGAACUGAGGGGGGCUGCUCCUAGUACGAGAGGACCGGAGUGGACGCAUCACUGGUGUUCGGGUUGUCAUGCCAAUGGCACUGCCCGGUAGCUAAAUGCGGAAGAGAUAAGUGCUGAAAGCAUCUAAGCACGAAACUUGCCCCGAGAUGAGUUCUCCCUGAGACUUUAGGUCUCCUGAAGGAACGUUGAAGACGACGACGUUGAUAGGCCGGGUGUGUAAGCGCAGCGAUGCGUUGAGCUAACCGGUACUAAUGAACCGUGAGGCUUAACCUUACA